This 326-nucleotide ribosomal RNA is filed under the name Paraburkholderia phenoliruptrix. RNAcentral describes it as "partial 23S ribosomal RNA". It matches the Rfam family "Bacterial large subunit ribosomal RNA", at positions 1222 to 1551 of the family's 2925-position model. Lineage: Bacteria; Pseudomonadati; Pseudomonadota; Betaproteobacteria; Burkholderiales; Burkholderiaceae. The record is from RNAcentral.
UGCAUGGUAGGAGAGCGUUCCGUAAGCCUGCGAAGGUGCACUGGAAAGUGUGCUGGAGGUAUCGGAAGUGCGAAUGCUGACAUGAGUAGCGAUAAAGGGGGUGAAAGGCCCCCUCGCCGUAAGCCCAAGGUUUCCUACGCAACGUUCAUCGGCGUAGGGUGAGUCGGCCCCUAAGGCGAGGCAGAAAUGCGUAGCUGAUGGGAAGCAGGUUAAUAUUCCUGCACCAUUGUUGAAUGCGAUGGGGGGACGGAUCGCGGAAGGUUGUCCGGGUGUUGGAAGUCCCGGUCCUUGCAUUGGAGAAGGCGCUUUGGCAAAUCCGGGCGCGG